Molecule: transfer RNA, 85 nt
Organism: Felis catus (domestic cat)
Lineage: Eukaryota; Metazoa; Chordata; Mammalia; Carnivora; Felidae
Rfam family: tRNA
About the family: Transfer RNA (tRNA) molecules are approximately 80 nucleotides in length.
Source: Rfam
GCCUGGGUGGCUCAGUCGGUUAAGCGUCCGACUUCCGCUCGGGACACGGUCUCGCGGUUCGUGGGUUCGAGCCCCGCGUCGGGCU